This 673-nucleotide ribosomal RNA is filed under the name uncultured archaeon. RNAcentral's name for it is "bacterial SSU rRNA". It matches the Rfam family "Archaeal small subunit ribosomal RNA", at positions 304 to 929 of the family's 1478-position model. The record is from RNAcentral.
AGAGCCAAGCUUGCAUGCCUGCACGUCGACGAUUCGCCCGCCGCGCCCCGCGCCCGUCCCGCCGCCCCCGCCCGACGGGGAGCAGCAGGCGCGAAAACUUUGCAAUGUGCGAAAGCACGACAAGGUUAAUCCGAGUGUUUCCUGCUAAAGGAAUCUUUUAUCAGUCAUAACACCACUGAUGAAUAAGGGGUGGGCAAGUUCUGGUGUCGGCCGCCGCGGUAAAACCAGCACCUCAAGUGGUCAGGAGGAUUAUUGGGCCUAAAGCAUCCGUAGCCGGCUCUGUAAGUUUUCGGUUAAAUCUGUAUGCUCAACAUACAGGCCGCCGGGAAUACUGCAGGGCUAGGGAGUGGGAGAGGUAGACGGUACUCGGGAGGAAGUGGUAAAAUGCUUUGAUCUCUCGAUGACCACCUGUGGCGAAGGCGGUCUACCAGAACACGUCCGACGGUGAGGGAUGAAAGCUGGGGGAGCAAACCGGAUUAGAUACCCGGGUAACCCUAGCCGUAAACUAUGCAAACUCAGUGAUGCAUUGGCUUGUGGCCAAUGCAGUGUUGCAGGGAAGCCGUUAAGUUUGCCGCCUGGGAAGUACGUACGCAAGUAUGAAACUUAAAGGAAUUGGCGGGGGAGCACAAUCUCUANAGGAUCCCGGGUACCGAGCUCGAAUUCGUAAUCAUGG